UUAGUAAACACAAACACCAGCAAAUAAACCCGAAAGACAAAAAGCAAAACAAAAAAAGCUCUUCUGUUUUUAGCACGGUGAGUGAUUUUAGAAUCAUUUCCUUUCAUAAGACACGAGUAACCAUGUGGAACUUUUGGCAGUAACAGGGCUGAUCGUUAUAACCCAUUGGGUGGUGAUUUUAUAUUCGGAUGGAUUACUUAAUAAUAAUUACAUUGAACUUACCGUUUAAUUAAAUGUUUAUUUGCCAUGUAAAUUUUAUAUUUCGUCAAAAUUAUGUGAUUUUUACAGCAAGGAUAAUUAUCCUAUGAUUAUGAGGCGGUGACCUUGAACAGUCCCUUAAUAAUUAGUUAUAGUUUCUGAUGUAAUUAAAUCAUUGAACCAGAUCUUGCUGGGUGAGAAGGUAACUAACCACAUGCACAGAGGGACUCAAGUGCAGAGGAGCUAAAAAUCACGCUGCCUCACUAACGAGAGAGGGCUGUGCUGUGACCUCCCCUCCUGAGGCUGCCAGACCUUGGCUGGGGACCACACUGGUGUGUGCUUUGAGUAUUAUUUGUAACAGCCCGCAUUUGUGCCGAUCUGAGACCGUGAGCCCACGGAGCACCAGCUCCCGGGACUGACCUCAGGAGAGGACCUGGUGGAUCCAGGGGUCGUCCCGUGAGCCUGUCCGCCGACCGGUUUAGGGACGGGACCCUGACCCGGUUCUGGCCUAUGAGACUGAGGAGAACUUCACUGGGGGCUGUGGGAGAAGCUCUUCCCCCGCUCAGAGAGAGAGUCGCGGAAAGCCGGUGCUGCUCUCACUGGUGUGCCUGUGCAGGUCUUGUAGCCAAGGUCGCUGCUGGGUGCCAGCCUGGAGGGAGGGAAGUCGUCGUGUUCACGGAGCUGUCCUUGAACCCUGCACUGACCUUCGAGGCCGUCCAGAGUUUCGUAUUUGCCGCAUGUGGAUCUCCUGGUCUGAUGUUGCCUCUGCUUACCCCCGCCCGAGCCCGCUGGUGAUCACUCACGGUUAGUUCAUGUUCCCACAUGAAUGAGAGCGCCGGGGCCCAUCUAUUUGAUUAGGGCAAGAUGAACACGUCAAAGCUCCCUUGAGGACCAGGGAGCAGAUUCAAUACAUCGAUCUCAAAUCGGAAAGGCAAUCCUCUGUGCGCCGGCCUCGUUUGUCUUAAAGAUACGUGUUAUGACGUCAGCUCAGAACAAGAGAACAGAUGCAUGGGAAGUGGCACGCAGAGGGAGAAGCGGGGUCCAUGCUCAUCAGGGAGCCCGACGUGGGGCUUGAUCCCAGGGCCCCAGGAUCACGACCUGUGCUGAAGGCAGACACUUAACUGACUGAGCCACCCAGGCGCCCCAAAGUCAUAACUGGGGUCAGAGAAGACACCGUAGGAACAUGAUCUUGAGACUCGGACGUCUGAGAUUUCCUUUCCUAGCACCUUCCAAGCACACGUGCCGGCAUUGUGGGCCGGAGGCUCGGGGGACCUUGCGUCUGGAGCACAGGUAAGUUUCCCGUGUCGCUGUCCCGGUUGGGACAAGCCGGUAGAACCUGCAUCCGAGAACAGCCGGGGAGACCUCGUGUGUUCGCGCCCGGCGUGGAGCUCGCCGCACGUUCCCGCGAGCAGUCUGGUCCGCGCAGGAGAGCCGGUGGCCGGGGUCGGGCGCGGGUUGGAGCCCCCAGCAGCGCGGUGAGCCCGCACCUGCUCCGCGUGUGUCGUCUGAAAGCUUCCUGCUUCCCUUCCUGGUUUCCCUUGGCUGCGUGGCAGGUGAGGAUUCAAGCAGAGCUGGCCCUGCGCUCGGCUGCUUUCAUCUCCGCAGACCAGCAGCGGGGCUUCGGCCUUGAUCUGCCGCACUCCAGGUCCGCCUCUUAGAGGCCCUGGGUCACCCCCAGGCUUUUAAGGGUUUUGGGGGUUAAAUUGAUAAUAAAUUGAAGCUUUGUUGUUUGGCAGAUUUUCCCCUUGUAUUUGCUCUUCUUUCCUCAGUGGAGAGCCUGGGAGGCCCCAUCCAGCUCCGUCCGCGUCUCAGAUCUGCCGUGACAGCCCGUUGCCGGCUGGGACGGGCUUGGAGUCAGCGCUUUGGUGUGUUUCUCCUUCUCAGAUAAUGACCCCGAGUGCCAGCGUCUGCGUGUGGAGAUGACCAGUGUGUAAAGUCUCGGGCACGUCCGUGCGGGGCCGGGCCUCCUCUGUGUCCCUCUGUGGGGACACCGGCCCGGCCCGGCCCGUCUGCUCGGCUCCCGUCUGGUGUGGACACACCCAGGAGGCUGUUGUUUUCUUCCGUGUGUUUGUGUCCCUGGAAUUUCACUUUGUUCGAGGCAGAGCCGAGUGCAUUCAGGGAGUGUCUGAGCGGCGGAGGCUGCCUGGUUCGGAAAGCACCGGCUCGGAGGGCGGAGCGGGCCCGAUUGCAAAACCACUCAACCUGCGGACGGUCGGUUCCAGACACGCGCGUCUGGGCUGCAGGCCUACGAGGUCGGGUUUUGAGCUGCCUGUGGGAAGGGGCGGUUUACAGCCGCCGGCGAUACAGCUCCCACACCGAGGACGAAAUGACGUGGUGGGGACGGGCUGGCGGGGGCGGGGCCUCACCGGGCAGAGCCUCUCUUCUUCCUUUGAUUCCAAUCGGGCGCCAAGCUCGGGCGUGUGGAAGAGCCACGGAGGACGCGGGAAGGUUGUGUUGACUUUGUGCUCAGCCUUCACUCUGUUCCUUGGGCCAAGGUGACUGAGCUCUGCCUGUAUGUGCCGAGACACCCCGCUCCCUCCGCUGGAUUCUUUGUAAAUAAGCCGCAGCUCCCGGUUCCCUGCCCCACUGCCUUGUCCUGGUUUCCUCCAGCACCGCAGUUCAGCCUGGUCGCAGCUCCUGGAAAUAAUAUGAGAAAGUUAUGCCGUUUCACUCCAUCAGAUUUAAUAAGUUUGGAUGCUUUCCAAAUACGAGGCAUUAAUCACACUUAAGCCCAGGGCUUGAGAGUUCACCCACCCGGAGCACUCAUGUCAGAGACAUAAAACCAUCUGCUUUAAUGCCCGCAGAUCUCUUUAAAUUGAGCACUUGCCUUGUGUUAAUAAAACUUGCUUUGCAUUGAGGGGCUGGGGUGGCGACUGGGGGGGCGGAUUUUUAUAUCAUGUAAAGCAUUUCGUGGCCAAAUGUUCCCUUCCUGUUUUAAAGCCUUGCAGAAUUACAUGGGAAAAGAAAAGGAAUUAGGUAAGCUCAGAAUAAGGAAGCAUUAGUCACACCUUGGCAGUGUGCAGAGCUUGGUUCCUGUCAGAGAGAUGAAGAGGACCGUGGCCCUUCCAGUUGGACGGCUCUCCCGUUGUCAUUCUUGUGCUCUGUUCCGGGCAGCGGUGCCGUCGGACGAUCGCGUGCUGCCCCUUCUCCGCCCCUGGGAAGAGAAUGCUUUCUGCUAUGUCUGCCUUCGUUUAGGCAUAGACGUCCUCCUGUGGUAGCAGAGUUACUCUGCCUAGGAAACCCCGAAAUCAGGCACGCACAGACUCCGCUACAAGACAGUUGAAGCGCCAGGCGACGCAGGUGGGGAGUCACUCCGUAGAAAGCUGGGACACAGCGGGCCCGGGAGAUUCAGAGGCGUGAAGAGCCCUCCUUCCUGCCAGGAGAUGCACAGUGAUCCAGCAGUCCCUUCGGAACGUGAUCAUGGUCUACGGCCUCGGAUCCUCGUGAGAAAAGACCGACGAGGCAGCAUGAGGUCCGGAGGAGGACAUGUGGCGGAGAGGGAGCGCGGUGGCCCUUGGGCCCAGGAGUGCGCGCCCUGUCACCUGUGGCCUGGGGCUGAGCUGGCUUCCCUGAGGUCCAGCAUCUGCUGUCUGUGCCCUUACCCAUCCCGCGAAUGUUGCGUGACCCCCUCGGCUGUUCCGGGAUCUGAGGUGCCAACAACGUUACCCGCCCGCCCC
This is a long non-coding RNA of Mustela lutreola (European mink), 3875 nucleotides long. RefSeq lists it as uncharacterized. Lineage: Eukaryota; Metazoa; Chordata; Mammalia; Carnivora; Mustelidae. The record is from RefSeq and is a predicted model, not a curated record. The transcript has 9 exons.